AGGAGGAGACUGUUGGCACAGCUUGUUUCUGGUACUGGUGUCUACAAAACCCUUAUCAAGUACUUGGUUGGGGUUCCACAGGUUUUACUAGAUUUUGUUCGCCAAAUAAAUGAUGAUGAUGGGCCCAUGGAAGAGCAACGACAGCGUUAUGGACCACCUUUGUACAGCCUUACAACUUUGGUGCUUCUUAUACGUCUGGCUAUUUUGCUGUCUCGGGGGCGGUUUGAAACUAGAAAAUUAAACAAGCAAGAGGUAGCUGUCUUGGAACAAUCUAUUGACGUCUACACCACUGAGUUUGAAAG
Long non-coding RNA from Rosa chinensis, 302 nucleotides. RefSeq lists it as uncharacterized. Lineage: Eukaryota; Viridiplantae; Streptophyta; Magnoliopsida; Rosales; Rosaceae. The record is from RefSeq and is a predicted model, not a curated record. The transcript is spliced from 4 exons.